Molecule: ribosomal RNA, 486 nt
Filed under: uncultured bacterium
Lineage: Bacteria
Description: bacterial SSU rRNA
Rfam family: Bacterial small subunit ribosomal RNA
Source: RNAcentral
GAUCCUGGCUCAGGAUGAACGCUGGCGGCGUGCUUAACACAUGCAAGUCGAACGAUUAACCCGCCUUCGGGCGGUCAUAGAGUGGCGAACGGGUGAGUAACACGUGACCGACCUGCCCCCCGCACCGGGACAACCGCUGGAAACGGCGGCUAAUACCGGAUACUCCGGACGGACCGCAUGGCCCGCCCGGGAAAGCCCAGGCGGCGGGGGAUGGGGUCGCGGCCCAUCAGGUAGUAGGCGGGGCGACGGCCCACCUAGCCGACGACGGGUAGCCGGGUUGAGAGACCGACCGGCCACAUUGGGACUGAGAUACGGCCCAGACUCCUACGGGAGGCAGCAGUGGGGAAUUUUGCGCAAUGGGGGCAACCCUGACGCAGCAACGCCGCGUGCGGGACGAAGGCCUUCGGGUUGUAAACCGCUUUCAGCAGGGAAGACAUCGACGGUACCUGCAGAAGAAGCCCCGGCUAAAUACGUGCCAGCAGCCGC